GGCCGAGAGACAGCUGGUAUCUCAAAAAACUCGUGAGUCGGGACACUCGUAAGUCGGGGCCCCACUGUACUAUAAUAUGCCAUAUUUCU
Myotis davidii is the source of this 89-nucleotide long non-coding RNA. RefSeq lists it as uncharacterized. The record is from RefSeq and is a predicted model, not a curated record. Lineage: Eukaryota; Metazoa; Chordata; Mammalia; Chiroptera; Vespertilionidae. The transcript is spliced from 3 exons.